AAGGAUCAUUAAUGAAUUCACUAUGGAGUUGUUGCUGGCCUCUAGGGGCAUGUGCACGCUUCACUAGUCUUUCAACCACCUGUGAACUUUUGAUAGAUCUGUGAAGUCGUCUCUCAAGUCGUUAGACUUGGUUUGCUGGGAUGUAAACGUCUCGGUGUGACUACGCAGUCUAUUUACUUAUAACACCCCAAAUGUAUGUCUACGAAUGUCAUUUAAAGGGCCUUGUGCCUAUAAACCAUAAUACAACUUUCAACAACGGAUCUCUUGGCUCUCGCUUCGAUGAAGAACGCAGCGAAAUGCGAUAAGUAAUGUGAAUUGCAGAAUUCAGUGAAUCAUCGAAUCUUUGAACGCACCUUGCGCCCCUUGGUAUUCCGAGGGGCAUGCCUGUUUGAGUGUCAUUAAAUUCUCAAACUCACUCUGGUUUUUUCCAAUUGUGAUGUUUGGAUUGUUGGGGGCUGCUGGCCUUGACAGGUCGGCUCCUCUUAAAUGCAUUAGCAGGACUUCUCAUUGCCUCUGCGCAUGAUGUGAUAAUUAUCACUCAUCAAUAGCACGCAUGAAUAGAGUCUGGCUCUCUAACCGUCCGCAAGGACAAUUUGACAAUUUGACCUCAAAUCAGGUAGGACUACCCGCUGAACUUAA
This 639-nucleotide ribosomal RNA is filed under the name Pleurotus eryngii. RNAcentral's name for it is "eukaryotic LSU rRNA". The stretch from base 245 to 398 matches the Rfam family "5.8S ribosomal RNA". Lineage: Eukaryota; Fungi; Basidiomycota; Agaricomycetes; Agaricales; Pleurotaceae. The record is from RNAcentral.